This 394-nucleotide ribosomal RNA is filed under the name uncultured bacterium. RNAcentral's name for it is "partial 16S ribosomal RNA". It matches the Rfam family "Bacterial small subunit ribosomal RNA", at positions 523 to 918 of the family's 1533-position model. The record is from RNAcentral.
AUACGUAGGGAGCGAGCGUUGUCCGGAAUUACUGGGCGUAAAGGGCACGUAGGCGGCGCUUCAAGUCGUCUGUCAAAUGGGAGGGCUUAACCCUUUUUCGCAGACGAAACUGGAGAGCUUGAGAAGCAGAGAGACAAACAGAAUUCCUGGUGUAGCGGUGAAAUGCGUAGAUAUCAGGAAGAAUACCAGUGGCGAAGGCGGUUUGCGGGCUGCAUACUGACGCUGAAGCGCGAAAGCCGGGGGAGCAAACGGGAUUAUAUACCCCGGUAGUCCUGGCAGUAAACGAUGUAUGCUGGGUGUGAGACUAGCGAUAGUUUCGUGCCGAAGUUAACGCGAUAAGCAUACCGCCUGGGGAGUACGGUCGCAAGAUUGAAACUCAAAGGAAUUGACGGGG